AGAGUUUGAUCCUGGCUCAGAACGAACGCUGGCGGCGUGCUUAAGACAUGCAAGUCGAACGGUAAGGCACCUUCGGGUGUACACGAGUGGCGCACGGGUGAGUAACGCGUGGGUAAUCUGCCUUCGGGUUUGGAACAACUUCGGGAAACUGGAGCUAAUACCAAAUAAGACCACGAGGUCAUUGGCCUUGCGGACAAAGGUGGCCUCUUCUUGAAAGCUACCGCCUGUUGAUGAGCCCGCGUCCCAUUAGCUUGUUGGUGAGGUAAAGGCUCACCAAGGCUUCGAUGGGUAGCUGGUCUGAGAGGAUGGUCAGCCACACUGGAACUGAGACACGGUCCAGACUCCUACGGGAGGCAGCAGUCGGGAAUCUUGCACAAUGGGCGAAAGCCUGAUGCAGCAACGCCGCGUGAGGGAUGAAGGCCCUCGGGUCGUAAACCUCUGUCGGGAGGGAAGAAAGGGCUUCGGACCAAUACUCCGGAGCACUGACGGUACCUCCAAAGGAAGUGCCGGCUAACUCCGUGCCAGCAGCCGCGGUAAUACGGAGGGCACAAGCGUUGUUCGGAAUUAUUGGGCGUAAAGCGCGUGUAGGCGGCUGGGUAAGUCGGGCGUGAAAGUCCGGGGCUCAACCCCGGAAUUGCAUUCGAAACUACCUCGCUAGAGUCUCGGAGAGGGAGGCGGAAUUCCCGGUGUAGAGGUGAA
This 699-nucleotide ribosomal RNA is filed under the name uncultured bacterium. RNAcentral's name for it is "bacterial SSU rRNA". It matches the Rfam family "Bacterial small subunit ribosomal RNA", at positions 8 to 685 of the family's 1533-position model. The record is from RNAcentral.